UGGAGGACUGGGGGUUUUAGGUGUCCAAGAAGAAAGCUCAGACCUGCCGACCGCAGGACCCCCAUCGCGGAUCCUAAGAUCCUUAGGACCCAACUGGAGGACUGUGGGUAUUAGGUGCCCAAGAAGAAAGCUCAGAUCUGCCGACGUUACUUGGGAUUUACUAUCCGACAGGUGUCCGAACACAGCUCGAGAUCAGAAAGAAAGCAGGGGUCCGAACGCAGCCCGGGAUCAGGAAGAAAGCAGGUCGUUUGCAAUCUACCGGAGCCUAAGGGCAGAAGGCAGGAUCGUGGGAACAAUAUCCCAGGGGGGUUUCCACUUUCUGCCAUAUAUGUAGUCACAUCGCCCACUCCGCCUUGGAAUAUUAUUAAGGACCAUCUAACACGAGGGUGUAUACGUCCUGCGAUAUUACGAGUAAUAUCAACUUCUUGGCCUCUGAAUAUGAGGAAGAAUAUCACAGGGGGUCCGAAUGCAGCCCGGGAUCACAAAGAAAGCAGGUCGUUUGCAAUCUACCAGAGCCUAAGGGCAGAAGGCAGGAUCGUGGGAACAAUAUCCCAUGGGGGUGUACCCUUUCUGCCAUAUAUGUAGUCACAUCACCCACUCCGCCUUGGAAUAUUAUUAAGGACCAUCUAACACGAGGGUGUAUACGUCCUGUGAUAUUGGGAGUAAUAUCAACUUCUCGGCCUCUGAAUAUGAGGAAGAAUAUCACAGGGAUAUUAAUAACAAUUUCACAGGCUGGGUGAACACAGCCGGCGAUGCUGAAAUUAUUAUCAUCCUCUCCCCCUCUUCCCCUCCUGGCUCUCAGUCCCCGCCUCACGGGUUAUGUAGCGGGUUAUGGCAAGAAGACAAACUGCAGUUUCCUGCACAGAACAGCACAAACAAUGAUCCAAGCUCAGUUACAACACAAUAUUGGUCAUCAUUUGACCAUGGACUUCAAUAUCAACCCUUAGAAACCUUCCUAAAACAGGUCAGCAAAACACCAAGAAGCAAUAUCCUGAAUGAUAGGAAAAUAUCCUUGCUUGUGCAAAUUGUUUCCACUUAAUUUUUUUCAACAAAUGUUAAUUAUAUUUUUACUUUCUAAAAAUUUUUAAUAAAAUAUAGCCUACUUGGUUAAAAA
Molecule: long non-coding RNA, 1114 nt
Organism: Homo sapiens (human)
Lineage: Eukaryota; Metazoa; Chordata; Mammalia; Primates; Hominidae
Exons: 7
Source: RefSeq, a predicted model, not a curated record